GUUGGUGAUUAUAGCAUAGUGAAACACCUCUUCCCAUUCCGAACAGAGAAGUUAAGCACUAUUGCGCUGAUGAUACUGGUUUACCGGGAAAGUAAGUCGUUGCCAACU
This 108-nucleotide ribosomal RNA is filed under the name Chitinophagales bacterium. Lineage: Bacteria; Pseudomonadati; Bacteroidota; Chitinophagia; Chitinophagales. The record is from RNAcentral.